This 253-nucleotide ribosomal RNA is filed under the name uncultured bacterium. Its description in RNAcentral is "partial 16S ribosomal RNA". It matches the Rfam family "Bacterial small subunit ribosomal RNA", at positions 524 to 776 of the family's 1533-position model. The record is from RNAcentral.
UACGAACUGUGCAAACGUUAUUCGGAAUCACUGGGCUUACAGGGUGCGUAGGCGGCCUGUUAAGUAGGGUGUGAAAGCCCCCGGCUCAACCGGGGAAUGGCGCCCUAAACUGGCGGGCUGGAGUGAGAUAGGGGUGUGCGGAACUUCCGGUGGAGCGGUGAAAUGUGUUGGUAUCGGAAGGAACGCCGGUGGCGAAAGCGGCACACUGGAUCUCAACUGACGCUGAGGCACGAAAGCCAGGGGAGCGAACGGG